Long non-coding RNA from Cucumis melo (muskmelon), 1312 nucleotides. RefSeq lists it as uncharacterized. The record is from RefSeq and is a predicted model, not a curated record. The transcript is spliced from 5 exons. Lineage: Eukaryota; Viridiplantae; Streptophyta; Magnoliopsida; Cucurbitales; Cucurbitaceae.
GAUAGGCUUAAAACUCAAAUUCCUAACUUUCUUUUUUUUUACUUACUUUUCAAGUUCGGCCCUCCCCCCUCCCAAAAAAUUUUGGCUGCCGCAAACCUCCACCCAGUAUCAAUUUUUGCCAACAAUCUCCCCCUCCCACUGAUUUCCCCCUUCACCCUUCACUUCAGCGACCCUUUCCUCACUGGUUUUGAAGAGCCACAACAUCUCCCUCCGUCCACCCUUUCACUUUCGGCGUGACCCCCUAAGCAAAUAAAUCUCUCAUCGUGAGCCCUCUCAUCUCUCCAGAUAAGAUUGUGAAUAAGAAUGCAGAUCCACUCUCCAACAAACAUGAAUCAUCUAAUGAUGCAUUGAUUCAAGCUUUGGGUACUUCAAAAUAUGGUGGCCGAGUGGUGUCGGUGGUUCCAUUACACCUACUGUUUAUUUUCACAAAGGAAAACCAAGAAUGUUAAAAAAGGUGGAUACAACCAAACAAAUCAUGAAUGAAAAUGAAGCACUCUAUAAACGCAUUCGAAAAUUGGAAGAGUAAGUUCAAAACAUGCCAACAUUCGAGCAUGGUAAUUGCUCCAAGAAUAAAAUCCAGAAGAAGGAGAGAGUUUCAAAGAAGAUGGUAAAAGAGACGAAAGUUAUCAAUGUACCUUUAACGCUCCAAAAAUUAAGGUACAUGCAAUGCUUUAGAAAUGGAUGAUAGCGGUCAUUUCAAGUUUUGCUUUAUGGCUUUUGGUGCAUCAAUUGAGGGGUGGAAAUAUUGUAAACCUAUCAUUUUUGUUGAUGGAAUGCUUUUGAAGUGUAAGUUUGGUGGCAUCCUAUUAACAACCUCAUCACAAGAUGAGAAACACUAUUAGCAACAUACAGUUGUUGUAUUCAACAUGUUGGGACUCAUUUGGAUUGGAGAGUUGAAGAUGUCGUCAUGAAAACAUUACCUCCAGUCUUUAAACGUCAAGCUGGAAGACCAAGAAAACAAAGAAUUCCAUCUACCAACUAUAAUUAUAAAGGGCAUAAUAGUAGAACUUGCAAGCAAAGUUUGAACAAUUAAUGAAAAUGUGUGAUUUUUUCCUUCAUUCUAAUACAUGUAUGCAGAAACGCUAUCAGCAACAUACAGUUGUUGUAUUUAACCUGUUGGAACUCAUUUGGAUUGGAGAGUUGAAGAUGUCGUCAUGAAAACAUUACCUCCAGUCUUUAAACGUCAAGCUGGAAGACCAAGAAAACAAAGAAUUCCAUCUGUCAACUAUAAUUGUAAAGGGAAUAAUAGUAGAACUUGCAAGCAAAGUUUAAACAAUUAAUGAAAAUGUGUGAUUUUUUUCCUUCAUUCUAA